RNAcentral lists this ribosomal RNA (497 nucleotides) under uncultured bacterium. Its description in RNAcentral is "partial 16S ribosomal RNA". It matches the Rfam family "Bacterial small subunit ribosomal RNA", at positions 28 to 507 of the family's 1533-position model. The record is from RNAcentral.
GAUGAACGCUGGCGGCGUGCCUAAUACAUGCAAGUCGAGCGAACGGACGAGAAGCUUGCUUCUCUGAUGUUAGCGGCGGACGUGUGAGUAACACGUGGAUAACCUACCUAUAAGACUGGGAUAACUUCGGGAAACCGGAUCUAAUACCGGAUAAUCUUUUGAACCGCAUGGUUCAAAAGUGAAAGACGGUCUUGCUGUCACUUAUAGAUGGAUCCGCGCUGCAUUAGCUAGUUGGUAAGGUAACGGCUUACCAAGGCAACGAUGCAUAGCCGACCUGAGAGGGUGAUAGGCCACACUGGAACUGAGACACGGUCCAGACUCCUAAGGGAGGCAGCAGUAGGGAAUCUUCCGCAAUGGGCGAAAGCCUGACGGAGCAACGCCGCGUGAGCGAUGAAGGUCUUCGGAUCGUAAAACUCUGUUAUUAGGGAAGAACAUAUGUGUAAGUAACUGUGCACAUCUUGACGGUACCUAAUCAGGAAGCCACGGCUAACUACGUG